This 443-nucleotide ribosomal RNA is filed under the name uncultured bacterium. RNAcentral's name for it is "bacterial SSU rRNA". It matches the Rfam family "Bacterial small subunit ribosomal RNA", at positions 64 to 507 of the family's 1533-position model. The record is from RNAcentral.
GAGCGGUAUUGUUUCUUCGGAAACGAGAGAGCGGCGCACGGGUGCGGAACACGUGUGCAACCUGCCUUUAUCUGGGGGAUAGCCUUUCGAAAGGAAGAUUAAUACCCCAUAAUAUUUUGAAUGGCAUCAUUUAAAAUUGAAAACUCCGGUGGAUAGAGAUGGGCACGCGCAAGAUUAGAUAGUUGGUAGGGUAACGGCCUACCAAGUCAGUGAUCUUUAGGGGGCCUGAGAGGGUGAUCCCCCACACUGGUACUGAGACACGGACCAGACUCCUACGGGAGGCAGCAGUGAGGAAUAUUGGACAAUGGGUGAGAGCCUGAUCCAGUCAUCCCGCGUGAAGGACGACGGCCCUAUGGGUUGUAAACUUCUUUUGUACAGGGAUAAACCUUUCCACGUGUGGAAAGCUGAAGGUACUGUACGAAUAAGCACCGGCUAACUCCGUG